UACGGGGGGGGCAAGCGUUGUUCGGAAUUACUGGGCGUAAAGGGCUCGUAGGCGGCCAACUAAGUCAGACGUGAAAUCCCUAGGCUCAACCUAGGAACUGCGUCUGAUACUGGAUGGCUUGAAUCCGGGAGAGGGAUGCAGAAUUCCAGGUGUAGCGGUGAAAUGCGUAGAUAUCUGGAGGAAUACCGGUGGCGAAGGCAGGUCUCUGGGCUGACACUGACGCUCAUGCACGAAAGCGUGGGGAGCAAACAGG
RNAcentral lists this ribosomal RNA (253 nucleotides) under uncultured bacterium. Its description in RNAcentral is "partial 16S ribosomal RNA". It matches the Rfam family "Bacterial small subunit ribosomal RNA", at positions 524 to 776 of the family's 1533-position model. The record is from RNAcentral.